RNAcentral lists this ribosomal RNA (493 nucleotides) under Lactobacillus sp. JSB1. RNAcentral describes it as "bacterial SSU rRNA". It matches the Rfam family "Bacterial small subunit ribosomal RNA", at positions 57 to 529 of the family's 1533-position model. The record is from RNAcentral. Lineage: Bacteria; Bacillati; Bacillota; Bacilli; Lactobacillales; Lactobacillaceae.
GCAAUCUUUGACUAAUGAGUGCUUGCACUCAGCGGUCAAAGUGCGAGUGGCGAACGGGUGAGUAACACGUGGGCAAUCUGCCCAAAAGUGGGGGAUAACACUUGGAAACAGGUGCUAAUACCGCAUCAACCGGCUGACCGCAUGGUCGGCCGGGCAAAGACGGCGUCAGCUGUCGCUUUUGGAUGAGCCCGCGGCGUAUUAACUAGUUGGUAAGGUAACGGCUUACCAAGGUGAUGAUACGUAGCCGAACUGAGAGGUUGAUCGGCCACAUUGGGACUGAGACACGGCCCAAACUCCUACGGGAGGCAGCAGUAGGGAAUCUUCCACAAUGGACGCAAGUCUGAUGGAGCAACGCCGCGUGUAUGAAGAAGGUCUUCGGAUCGUAAAAUACUGUUGUCAGAGAAGAACACGUGAUAAAGUAACUGUUAUCGCGCUGACGGUAUCUGACCAGCAAGUCACGGNUAACUACGUGCCACAGCCCNGGUNAUACAAC